RNAcentral lists this ribosomal RNA (274 nucleotides) under uncultured bacterium. RNAcentral's name for it is "partial 16S ribosomal RNA". It matches the Rfam family "Bacterial small subunit ribosomal RNA", at positions 523 to 796 of the family's 1533-position model. The record is from RNAcentral.
AUACGGAGGGUCCAAGCGUUAUCCGGAUUCAUUGGGUUUAAAGGGUCCGCAGGCGGGAAAAUAAGUCAGUGGUGAAAGCCUACAGCUUAACUGUAGAACUGCCAUUGAAACUGUUUUUCUUGAGUAUAGAUGAAGUGGGCGGAAUAUAUCAUGUAGCGGUGAAAUGCAUAGAUAUGAUAUAGAACACCGAUUGCGAAGGCAGCUCACUAAACUAUUACUGACGCUCAGGGACGGAAGCGUGGGGAGCGAACAGGAUUAGAAACCCUAGUAGUCC